GACGAACGCUGGCGGCGUGCCUAAUACAUGCAAGUAGAACGCUGAAGAGAGGAGCUUGCUCUUCUUGGAUGAGUUGCGCACGGGUGAGUAACGCGUAGGUAACCUGCCUGGUAGCGGGGGAUAACUAUUGGAAACGAUAGCUAAUACCGCAUAAAAUGGAUUAUCGCAUGAUAAUCCAUUGAAAGGUGCAAAUGCAUCACUACCAGAUGGACCUGCGUUGUAUUAGCUAGUUGGUGGGGUAACGGCUCACCAAGGCGACGAUACAUAGCCGACCUGAGAGGGUGAUCGGCCACACUGGGACUGAGACACGGCCCAGACUCCUACGGGAGGCAGCAGUAGGGAAUCUUCGGCAAUGGACGGAAGUCUGACCGAGCAACGCCGCGUGAGUGAAGAAGGUUUUCGGAUCGUAAAGCUCGGUUGUAAGAGAAGAACGAGUGUGAGAGUGGAAAGUUCACACUGUGACGGUAUCUUACCAGAAAGGGACGGCUAACUACGUG
RNAcentral lists this ribosomal RNA (497 nucleotides) under uncultured bacterium. RNAcentral describes it as "partial 16S ribosomal RNA". It matches the Rfam family "Bacterial small subunit ribosomal RNA", at positions 28 to 507 of the family's 1533-position model. The record is from RNAcentral.